CACCUCUGCUGCAUUCCCUUCAGGCUAAGGUGCAGCCUGCAGCAGUGUACAGAAGGAAUGCCGUGCACAGCAGGGGAUCUGUGUUUGAAAUGAUUUAAAGACACAACGUAUUGCCUGGAGCAAUUCCACUGCGUCUGGAAGAUGCUAGGCUGGUGCCUUGGGAACAGAAUCACAGCAGCUGGAGAGCUGGGCUGAACCCGGGAGCCUCUGCAGGCUCCCCAGUGCAGCCAAGAUCUCUGGAGGAGAGGAGGCCCCUGAAAGGCAGAAGGUAGCGUCCAGGACCAGGGCCCCUGAAAGGCAGAAGGAAGCGUCCAGAACCAGUGAAAUGAGAGUGCAUCAGCCAGCAGAAAAAGGAAACUGAAGGCGUCGACAAGAGCAGCGGCUUUGCAGAGGGAAGCGUCUAGAGACCGUGGGAGCACGCUGGACACCAGCGCUAAGCAGCACUUGCAGUGAGGACCUGGCUGAGCCCCCAGGAUCCCCCCAACGUAGCUGGCCGCCUUGGGGAGCUCUCUUCCCCAACCCACAGAUGCCACCAACCCUGGUGGCAUGACACGACACUCAAGAUUCCCUUGGGAGCGGGGGUCACAGGCCUGGGGCCUGCCAUGAGGCCACGGGGCCUCCUGCUUCCCAUGCUGAUAGCAAACGCGCCUUUCAGAGCCCUUCCCGCAUCUCCUCACUACAGAGCACUUCAUAGGCGCUCACAAUGAAGAAGUGGGGAGAGGGAGAGAAGCAGAUAAAAGGGAAAGCGGAAAUGUGGCAUUUUAGUUAUUUAAUAAAGGUAAACUUGAACUAUA
Molecule: long non-coding RNA, 794 nt
Organism: Homo sapiens (human)
Lineage: Eukaryota; Metazoa; Chordata; Mammalia; Primates; Hominidae
Exons: 3
Source: RefSeq, a predicted model, not a curated record